RNAcentral lists this transfer RNA (84 nucleotides) under Mycoplasmopsis bovis. Its description in RNAcentral is "Mycoplasma bovis tRNA-Tyr". It matches the Rfam family "tRNA". From Rfam's summary of the family: Transfer RNA (tRNA) molecules are approximately 80 nucleotides in length. Their secondary structure includes four short double-helical elements and three loops (D, anti-codon, and T loops). Lineage: Bacteria; Bacillati; Mycoplasmatota; Mycoplasmoidales; Metamycoplasmataceae. The record is from RNAcentral.
GGAGGGGUAGCGAAGCUACCAAACGCGGGUGGCUGUAACCCACUUCCUCACGGUUCGGGGGUUCGAAUCCCUCCCCCUCCACCA